RNAcentral lists this ribosomal RNA (390 nucleotides) under uncultured Alphaproteobacteria bacterium. Its description in RNAcentral is "bacterial SSU rRNA". It matches the Rfam family "Bacterial small subunit ribosomal RNA", at positions 9 to 424 of the family's 1533-position model. The record is from RNAcentral. Lineage: Bacteria; Pseudomonadati; Pseudomonadota; Alphaproteobacteria.
GAGUUUGAUCAUGGCUCAGAACGAACGCUGGCGGCAGGCUUAACACAUGCAAGUCGAACGCGUGUAGCAAUACACGAGUGGCGCACGGGUGAGUAACGCGUGGAUAUCUGCCUUUUGGUUCGGAAUAACCCCGGGAAACUGGGGCUAAUACCGGAUGGUUCCUACGGGAUAAAGAUUUAUCGCCAAAAGAUGAGUCCGCGUACGAUUAGCUAGUUGGUGGGGUAAUGGCUCACCAAGGCGACGAUCGUUAGCUGGUCUGAGAGGACGAUCAGCCACACUGGGACUGAGACACGGCCCAGACUCCUACGGGAGGCAGCAGUGGGGGAAUAUUGGACAAUGGGGGCAACCCUGAUCCAGCCAUGCCGCGUGAGUGAUGAAGGCCUUCGGGUU